This 876-nucleotide ribosomal RNA is filed under the name Macrolepiota mastoidea. Its description in RNAcentral is "LSU rRNA". It matches the Rfam family "Eukaryotic large subunit ribosomal RNA", at positions 72 to 935 of the family's 3401-position model. Lineage: Eukaryota; Fungi; Basidiomycota; Agaricomycetes; Agaricales; Agaricaceae. The record is from RNAcentral.
GGAUUCCCCUAGUAACUGCGAGUGAAGCGGGAAGAGCUCAAAUUUAAAAUCUGGCGGUCUCUGGCCGUCCGAGUUGUAAUCUAGAGAAGUGUUACCCGCGCUGGACCGUGUACAAGUCUCCUGGAAUGGAGCGUCAUAGAGGGUGAGAAUCCCGUCUCUGACACGGACUACCAGGGCUUUGUGGUACGCUCUCAAAGAGUCGAGUUGUUUGGGAAUGCAGCUCAAAAUGGGUGGUAAAUUCCAUCUAAAGCUAAAUAUUGGCGAGAGACCGAUAGCGAACAAGUACCGUGAGGGAAAGAUGAAAAGAACUUUGGAAAGAGAGUUAAACAGUACGUGAAAUUGCUGAAAGGGAAACGCUUGAAGUCAGUCGCGUUGGCCGGGGAUCAGCCUCACUUUUGUGUGGUGUACUUUCUGGUUGACGGGUCAGCAUCAAUUUUGACCGCUGGAAAAAGGCUUGGGGAAUGUGGCAGCUUCGGCUGUGUUAUAGCCCCUUGUCACAUACAGCGGUUGGGAUUGAGGAACUCAGCACGCCGCAAGGCCGGGUUUCGACCACGUUCGUGCUUAGGAUGCUGGCAUAAUGGCUUUAAGCGACCCGUCUUGAAACACGGACCAAGGAGUCUAACAUGCCUGCGAGUGUUUGGGUGGAAAACCCGAGCGCGUAAUGAAAGUGAAAGUUGAGAUCCCUGUCGUGGGGAGCAUCGACGCCCGGACCAGAACUUUUGGGACGGAUCCGCGGUAGAGCAUGUAUGUUGGGACCCGAAAGAUGGUGAACUAUGCCUGAAUAGGGUGAAGCCAGAGGAAACUCUGGUGGAGGCUCGUAGCGAUUCUGACGUGCAAAUCGAUCGUCAAAUUUGGGUAUAGGGGCGAAAGACUAAU